GGCUCGGUCGCGGAUGGUCCGCACUUGCAUUUUGCUUGCAUUUCCUUUGUCGUGAAAUGUGCUGUUAAAGCAAGAGUUGCCCGUUCGAUCCGAGCCUGAGCCA
Non-coding RNA from Mycena metata, 103 nucleotides. The record is from the annotation of a GenBank genome assembly. Lineage: Eukaryota; Fungi; Basidiomycota; Agaricomycetes; Agaricales; Mycenaceae.